This 650-nucleotide ribosomal RNA is filed under the name uncultured bacterium. RNAcentral describes it as "bacterial SSU rRNA". It matches the Rfam family "Bacterial small subunit ribosomal RNA", at positions 68 to 694 of the family's 1533-position model. The record is from RNAcentral.
GGGUUACUUUUGUUCGAGAGAGAGUAAGUGGCGCACGGGUGAGUAACGCGUGGAUAAUCUGCCUCUGAAUCGGGGAUAACGUUGCGAAAGUGACGCUAAUACCGGAUAAUAUCUAAGAAACUUCGGUUUUUCAGAUCAAAGGAGGCCACUACAUGUAAGCUUCCGUUCGGAGAUGAGUCCGCGUGCCAUUAGCUUGUUGGUAGGGUAACGGCCUACCAAGGCUGCGAUGGUUAGCUGGUCUGAGAGGAUGAUCAGCCACACUGGAACUGAGACACGGUCCAGACUCCUACGGGAGGCAGCAGUGAGGAAUCUUGCGCAAUGGGGGAAACCCUGACGCAGCAACGCCGCGUGAGUGAAGAAGGCUUUCGGGUCGUAAAGCUCUGUCAAGUGGGAAGAACCUGUUCCAUGUUAAUACCAUGGAGCACUGACGGUACCACUGAAGGAAGCACCGGCUAACUCCGUGCCAGCAGCCGCGGUAAUACGGAGGGUGCGAGCGUUAUUCGGAAUUACUGGGCGUAGAGGGCGCGCAGGCGGCUUUUUAAGUCGGGCGUGAAAGCCCGGGGCUAAGCCCCGGAAGGGCGUUCGAAACUAAAUGGCUUGAGUACGGGAGAGGGAAGUGGAAUUCCUGGUGUAGAGGUGAAAUUCGUAGA